Molecule: long non-coding RNA, 298 nt
Organism: Aethalodelphis obliquidens (Pacific white-sided dolphin)
Lineage: Eukaryota; Metazoa; Chordata; Mammalia; Artiodactyla; Delphinidae
Exons: 3
Source: RefSeq, a predicted model, not a curated record
GGGCCUGUGAGCCAUGGCCGCUGAGCCUGCGCUCCGCAACGGGAGAAGCCACAACAGUGAGAGGCCCGCGUAACACAAAAAAUAAUAAUAAUACAACAAAAUCCAUUAGUCCAGUGGUUUUUAUUCUCAAAAGCACUAUUCCAACAAUCUUUUGUCUCAAAAGUUUCUCAUCAACUACUAUUAUGCCUCAUGGACUAUUUUUUCAAAAAUUGUUUUGGCCUUUUCAAAGGACCAGUUUUUGGCUUUGUUGAGUCUCUUGUGCGUUUUUCUUUUUUUUUUUUUUUUGUGGUGCACGGGC